UAGGGCGGCCAAAGUGGCCGGGAAACACCCGUUCCCAUUUCGAACACGGAAGUUAAGCCGGCCCACGUCCGCAGGAGUACUGGCGAAGGCCGGGAAACUGCGGAAGCUGCCCGCC
This 115-nucleotide ribosomal RNA is filed under the name Nanoarchaeota archaeon NZ13-N. Lineage: Archaea; Nanobdellati; Nanobdellota. RNAcentral also lists the same sequence under 1 other name. The record is from RNAcentral.